Vicia faba (fava bean) is the source of this 207-nucleotide non-coding RNA. The record is from the annotation of a GenBank genome assembly. Lineage: Eukaryota; Viridiplantae; Streptophyta; Magnoliopsida; Fabales; Fabaceae.
AUGAAUUUCGGCGAGCUAGAGGCGGUGGUGGAUAUGGAAGCGGCGGCGCUUGACGGUGGCUCGCAAAGGAUACGUUCGCCCUGCUUGCCGUCCCGAUUUCUGUUAGCCAACCUCCCCCGUUCAAGAUGUGGAGAUUCAAUGUUUUUGAUUGGCAAAGCUUUAGAUUCGAUUCUGAAUAUAGGUGUACUAUUUUUCAUAUUUGUAUGA